CUAUGUAGUUGGUUUGGACUUAACAAUUUUUUCAGCAACUCCCAUUCCUUGUGUGUUGCUUCGCUCACAAAUUACCCUUUCUGUGCGUCAUUGACGACAUCAUCAUGUUUGGACUCAAGACCGCGUUGCUUCUUUUGGUGGCUAUCAACGUCUUGGUGAAUGGAUACCAGGAUGAUGGCUACCUGGAUGGCGAGUUGGAAGUCCUCCUCAAGCGCCUUCUGGAGGGUCUUGA
This is a long non-coding RNA of Patiria miniata (bat star), 232 nucleotides long. RefSeq lists it as uncharacterized. The record is from RefSeq and is a predicted model, not a curated record. The transcript is spliced from 2 exons. Lineage: Eukaryota; Metazoa; Echinodermata; Asteroidea; Valvatida; Asterinidae.